GGAUGAGCCUGCACAAUAUCAGCUUGUUGGUAGGGUAAUGGCCUACCAAGGCUACGACGUUUAGCUGGUCUGAGAGGACGGCCAGCCACACUGGAACUGAGACACGGUCCAGACUCCUACGGGAGGCAGCAGUGGGGAAUUUUGCGCAAUGGACGAAAGUCUGACGCAGCGACGCCGCGUGGGUGAUGAAGGUCUUCGGAUCGUAAAGCCCUGUCGUGGGGAACGAAACCUCCUAUGGCUAAUAUCCAUGGGACGUGACGGUACUCCAAAAGGAAGCACCGGCUAACUCCGUGCCAGCAGCCGCGGUAAUACGGAGGGUGCAAGCGUUGUUCGGAAUUACUGGGCGUAAAGCGCCUGUAGGUGGUUUAAGAAGUCGGGUGUGAAAACCCCGGGCUCAACCCGGGAACUGCGCCCGAAACCAUUAAGCUUGAGUGCCAAAAGGGUACGUGGAAUUCCAAGUGUAGCAGUGAAAUGCGUAGAUAUUUGGAGGAACACCGGUGGUGCAGACGACGUACUGGGUGGCAACUGACACUGAGAGGCGAAAGCGUGGGUAGCAAACAGGAUUAGAUACCCUGGUAGUCCACGCCGUAAACGAUGGGUACUAGGUGUUGGGGAGCUUUAGAAACUCCUCAGUGCCGACGCAAACGCAUUAA
This 653-nucleotide ribosomal RNA is filed under the name uncultured bacterium. RNAcentral's name for it is "bacterial SSU rRNA". It matches the Rfam family "Bacterial small subunit ribosomal RNA", at positions 223 to 863 of the family's 1533-position model. The record is from RNAcentral.